RNAcentral lists this transfer RNA (70 nucleotides) under Mus musculus (house mouse). It matches the Rfam family "tRNA". From Rfam's summary of the family: Transfer RNA (tRNA) molecules are approximately 80 nucleotides in length. Their secondary structure includes four short double-helical elements and three loops (D, anti-codon, and T loops). Further hydrogen bonds mediate the characteristic L-shaped molecular structure. tRNAs have two regions of fundamental functional importance: the anti-codon, which is responsible for specific mRNA codon recognition, and the 3' end, to which the tRNAs corresponding amino acid is attached (by aminoacyl-tRNA synthetases). tRNAs cope with the degeneracy of the genetic code in two manners: having more than one tRNA (with a specific anti-codon) for a particular amino acid; and 'wobble' base-pairing, i.e. permitting non-standard base-pairing at the 3rd anti-codon position. Lineage: Eukaryota; Metazoa; Chordata; Mammalia; Rodentia; Muridae. The record is from Rfam by way of RNAcentral.
GCAAGGUGGCUCAGUGGCUAAGAGCACUGGCUACUGUACCAGAGGACCUGGGUUCAAUUCCCUGCGUGCA